AUUCACAUCUGGGUUUCUGUUUCUUCCAUCAUACAUCUCCGCCUCCUAUGGUUUCAUUCUUCCAUCAUACGUCUCUCUUCUCCAUCUCUAAUCUUCAUUCAUAUCCUAGGGUUUCUGCAACUUCAUUUGCACCUCUCCAUCUCAUCCAAUCGCAUCCAUGAAGAUCAUGUUCAUCCCCAAGGUCAACCCAAAUCUAUAUUACCAUUCACGCCUCUAUCUUAAUAACUUCCUUUUCUCUAAAAUCCAAUCUUCUGCCCUAAUUCUCUCUACCGUCCUUCCGCCUUACGAAAUAUUCAUCACAAAGCAACAAUUUUCGCAACCGGUCUAACCAUCAAGAAGAUGACAUGAGAGCCUUGGUAGUUGUAUUUGCUGAUAAUUGAGGGUGCUAGAGGUUGCUGAUGGAUUUACACUACAGAAACAGCUUUUAUGGAUCUAAACAUUCAUCCUCAUUAAGAGGACCAUGACGUCACCGAUGGCGUCGAUAAGAAGGAUGAGAUCUUACCUAACUAUGAUUUUCAGCCGAUUGAUUGUCUCAUCUCAGCCGUCCAAUUUUGAUUCCGGUAAUAUCAAUGGAGCUAGGGUUUGGUCAUCAGCUGAAUUCGAGCCUAAUUUUGGCACUCGAGUUACGUAUUACUCCUUUCAAUCGGUGUUGUCUCUGUGCUUUCAGAUCUACAUAGGUUUUUAAGGGUUUCAAUUCCUUCUUUGUGGUAUCCAUUGAUUAAUGGAAGUUCUGUAAGUUAUGUUUAUGGUACGUAUAUAAAAUAGAAUGGCGUGCCUUUUUCAUCUCAAGCACCAACACCCAAGAAACCACAACCGAGGAAACAAGAACAACAUUUGAAUAUUGCUCUCCCAACUACUGUAGCCGCCGAACCAAUGGCUUCAAGAAGUUUGGACCUAUCAAGCCUAAUGGUAUUCAAAUUCUAAACAAUAGGGUAUGUUUCGAUUCAUUUGCCAUUUGUACUUUAUUAUUUUUUUUUACAUCCCCGAUACUAAUGUAGCAACAGGGAUUCUAAUUUGGUUUUGUUGAAUUUGAGGUGCCAAAUGCGGUACAAAAGGCGAUCGAGGUAUGUGCAGUCCUAUUAUAACACACAGUUAUAUUAUACGAAUUUGUUUUGCUUAUAAUAUGAAACUAUCAUUGGGUGCCAACCCCUGAUUCUGCCUGAAAACUUGCCAAAAAAAUUGUCUUUCUUGUGAUGAUUUAUUUAGUUAAAUGUGACAUUGUAUUGUUUAAUGUCCAGAUUUCAAUGAUCACAAUUAAUGGAAAAAAAUGUUGUUGAAGAGAAGCUAUCUACAAUCUCUAAAGGAGUUGCUCUAAAUAUGCAAAAGCACAAUAAGAAUAUUAACCCAUUUAUUUUUUUAACUAUUAAUUUUUUGAAAUCUCUUAUGCUAUUAUGUUAUUUCUUAACAACUGACUUUUUAUAGGAGGAAACCGAGGAAGAUUUGUAGGUGGAAGGGCACCCGGAUUUAGGAAUGAUAUCAUGGUUUGCUAUUAUGUGGUUUGCUUUUUAUUUGCUUAGUUGUUCUAAUAAUUAGUUUUGAACAGACUUGAUAUUGUGGCUGAAUGACUUGGGAUUGAAAAAAAAUAUAUAAAAAAAACUUAGAAAUGGAGAAGAUGAAUGUGGGUGUGCAGUAGGAGCAAGUAGGAUUGGGUUGGAGAUAACAAAAGUAUUAACAGUGAGGCGAGCUCAUGUGAUCAUAGCUGCAAGGAACAUCAAUGCUGCAAAUGAAGCCAAACAUGUGAACCUUAAUAGCAAUGAGAAAGUGACCUUCAAGAGGGUGUUCAGUGUUUGCCGCUGAUGGAACUCUCCAUGUUUUUCAUUUAGUGGUUUUCGUGCUCGCCGGUUAAUUCAGGUUCAGGUCUUUUAUAUUUGGUAAGAUUGGGGUCUCCGGAUUUUGAGGGUUUCUUACUUUGUUAUCUUUAACAUUUUGUCAUUUCAUUUCAUUGAGACAAUAACAUUUUACACAAAUCAUGCCACAGUUUACAGUUUGAUCGCUAGAAAUCAUACCAUGGGUAAGUUGUGUUAUAAAGUUUUUUAGUAUUUAAGGGUUGUUGCUAUUUUAUAACGAUCACAAGUUUGAUAUGAUAUUUGUUUUGUUUCAAAAACUUCAAACCAUGCUAACCCGUUACCCAAUUUAGUUUGUUAGUUGUGCGGUAAGGUGUAAAAUGGUAGCUCUGAUAUGCCACAACUAUGUAUGUUUUCUUGAUCCACAAGUUUCUGUAUGACAAAGGAGCCACAAAUCCAGAGUACAUUGUUACAGCUGAUGAAGUCGAUAAACUUAUUGCUGUCAAACGCAUACCAACGGAUGACCAGAUUUUCAGUAUCUUUGUCAUUGUAGACCCUGUUUAUGAGUCAAUCUGUUUGUUUGUUAAAGUUGGUUAGCGGUUAAAAUCUAUGUUUUUUACAGGUGGCAAAUAACUAUCACAGACCAGAUUUGAAAAAGGCUGCUUUUGCAAGGUUUAGUGCUGUGAACAGGAGCCUUAAGGUUUCAAACUCAGGUGUGAAAAAGAACAGACAAGCUUUGAAGAUUCGUGGUCGGAAAUGAAACCAAACUUAUCAACUGUUGUUAUGGAUGUCGAAUCGAAAGCACCUCCUGAAAUUAUUAUGAUUUUUGAUGAUGAUCCUAUUGACAUUACUAUGGAUGAUGAUCAUCAUGUUAUUAACCAACAAGGGCAAGGUGUCCAUCUGAAGUGGCAAGUUUCAAACCACUUUCUAAGUUUUUUUUCUCUAUUUAUCUUAAUUCAAAAGUAAUUUAAAUUACUUGCUUCAAUUUUUUUAAUCGUUAUUCUUUAA
Long non-coding RNA from Helianthus annuus (common sunflower), 2792 nucleotides. RefSeq lists it as uncharacterized. Lineage: Eukaryota; Viridiplantae; Streptophyta; Magnoliopsida; Asterales; Asteraceae. The transcript has 7 exons. The record is from RefSeq and is a predicted model, not a curated record.